Molecule: long non-coding RNA, 1024 nt
Organism: Brienomyrus brachyistius
Lineage: Eukaryota; Metazoa; Chordata; Actinopteri; Osteoglossiformes; Mormyridae
Exons: 3
Source: RefSeq, a predicted model, not a curated record
GCACACUCGUGUCGGUAUUUAAACUGUACUUAAGCAAACAGGCUGUGGUUGAAUUUGUAUUUGAUUUUGAUUGUAUUUAGCAGGAGUGGAGCGGAGUUGUGCUACAUGUGGACGGCGUAAUGAGCAAAACCGGCCCAAGGUAGUGACAUAGUAGGAGGCAUGCAGGGGAGUCAUCACCAGACCAGCGCUCAAUGAGGGAGGGGCAGGCCGUCGAGUGACCACGCCCCUCUCUAAAUAACCACGCCCCGGAUCACGCGGUCGCCACCAAUAUGCAGGAGAUUGUAUAGAAGCCACCCAGCAGCAGGGCUAAGGACAAGCACAGCAGAAGCACACGCUGAAACAGGACUGGGGUAGGUCUUCCAGGCCAUCCGCCCCCAGCAGGGCCCCAGCAGCAGCCCAGCCGACGAGCAUGCCCCCCCCCCCCCCACUCCCGCCUUCACCAAGACCUCCCCACCUCAAAGCAACUCUCAUAGGGCUCCUGCCAGGAAGAAGAACAAUGACUGGACCUCCAGGCUCCAUAUCAACAUGGAAGAGAAGGAUCACGGGAAGCCCUUUCAUGGCUCUUGUUGUGUUUGGCUUUGCAUGUCCAGUUCCUGCAGCUGGACUCUCAACAGACAGAUGCUGUUGAUAUGUGUGUCUCACUGUGGUUUGUUUAAGCAGGAAUUCAGAACAGUGGGAGUCUUGGGGGGAUGUUUCUGAAUAAAGACAGACGUGUCACCACCACGGUGCCUUUCAGUCAGUACAAAUUGUACUGUUGCUCUUCUAUACCACGGCAUUUUUGCACAAAUAACCUUCACCUCUACCAUACAGUAACUUAAAUACUGUAUCCAGACUGAUCCCACCAUUAAUUUGCACUGUAUGUUGUCUUGUCAAUUUGUACUGUUAUGCUUGUGUCCUGUCUGCACUUAUGAUGCUGCUCUGUCUUUGUCCUGCUCUGUGCUGCACCAUGGUCCUGGAGGAACGUUAUCUCAUUUCUCUAUAUACUGUGUGUAUGGCUGAAAUGACAAUAAAACCUACUUGACUU